UAUCGACAACAUACAUGCGCACUCGAGAUCAGAGCGCCGAGCAAGUGUCAUCCUCUUCCAAGUGUGCAAAUAUCGAAGGACCAUCAUCAUCACAAGCGACCAUGUCCAGCGAGACUGCACCACUUGUCAUCCGUGUGGGCUCACGGGCGACCAGGACAGUCCACAUCAGCCAAGAGAAUGUCAACACCUUCGGCGACGUCAUUGACGACCACAACCCCAUUCACAGUGACCCGGAGGUGGCUAAGGCGGCGGGGUUUCCCACCACUAUUUGCUACGGCAUGUACGCCGGCUCGCUCUUCUCCGGUCUCAUGGCGAAGGAGAUGCCCGGCCCUGGCACUGUGUAUCUGUCACAGAACUUGCGCUUCACCGCCCCGGUGUUCGUCGGCGACGACCUCGAUGUCAUCGUGGAAGUCCGAGAGUUCCGCAAGGAUAAGGGUCUCAUCUCUCUCUCCAACAUCGUACAAAAGACGGACCCCUCGACCGGCAAGACAACCGUGUGCGUUGAAGGGUCUGCCGUGGUCAUGAACAAGACUCUGCCGUUUGAGGGGGAGAGUGAGUGGUCUGUGACGAAGUAGAGAGGAGGAGAGCAGCGAAUGAUUGGGGCGGCGGUGGAGGUGGUGACGGUGGUGGCAGGGGGGGGGAUAAGUGAGUGAGCAACAAGGAAGGCGCCUGCAGUAAAGGUCGCCUGCACUUUUGGGGGCCCAAAGGACGCGCACAUGCAAACAGCACACAAGUUCUUCAUCCCCUGCUCCACCCCUCCCCCGGGGCUCUCCAGCACACAAUCUACGAACUACUUUUUCAUGUAUUCUUGUCGGACUCGUCUGUCUCACAACUUGCAGAGCCGCCCUCCCCACUUCCCCCACAAUGCUGAGGGAAGAGGAAGAAGGGAGAGGGAAGGGCACAAAAGGCGCAAGGGGGUGCGGCAGCGUGGUUUUAAGCGUGUCAAAUGCACGGCUUUCUCUCUCUCUGUCCCUUUCUUUGUGUGCGUAUGUGUGUCUUCUCUCCCUCUCACCAUAGUUUUUUGCCUUUCGAUUCGUGGAGUGGUCCAGG
RNAcentral lists this unclassified non-coding RNA (1050 nucleotides) under Leishmania donovani. RNAcentral's name for it is "gene:LdHU3.07.0560(CDS-product:3-hydroxyacyl-ACP_ dehydratase_putative)". The record is from RNAcentral. Lineage: Eukaryota; Euglenozoa; Kinetoplastea; Trypanosomatida; Trypanosomatidae.